Non-coding RNA from Nerophis lumbriciformis (worm pipefish), 1159 nucleotides. The record is from RefSeq and is a predicted model, not a curated record. NCBI's taxonomy places the organism in Eukaryota, Metazoa, Chordata, Actinopteri, Syngnathiformes, Syngnathidae.
UGAAGAAGCAAUUCCUUGUAGAAGCUGAUGGUCACAGAGCUGGAUCGAAUGGCAACGAAGAUGGUUCAAAGAGCAUCUAUGUGUGACUUAAAGGACUGCUGCCAGAGGGCAAUCAAUGCCUGCCUGGAUGAUUCAGUAAGACGAGGACUCAUUAGGGAUGCAGCAAUUCUACUGCUGCCUUCCAUUUUCAGAGAGGACUCAUCUUUUCUAUACACUCUACUGUAGGAGCCAAGCGUGCCUACUCCAGCAAUCAUGCUCCAUAACACACACGAGGGGAACCCUUUGCAGGCACAAAGGAUAACCCUAUACCUGGAUGGUAUACAGGUUUUGACUGAGGACAGCAGCAUGGACAAAUCAUAUGCUAUGAGUGCAUUAAUGUCACUCUAUAUUGUUUUUGCUGUCCAGUACCCAAAGGAACUGAGAAAAACUCUUAUUUUCAUUGAAAGAUUUGUGUUGGGGAUCAAGGACCACAGUGUUGUACCCAUUUCAGUGAAGAGACUAUACAACUGUGUCAGAAGUGGGGAGUAGUGAGUAGAUGUGUUGCAGCAUGGGAUUUCAUGCUUUAUGUUCUUGUUAAUGGUCAAAUUCCUGCUGCUGCCCUUUGUUUGUACAUAUUGAUAAAAAAAAAUAUCCCUUAUUUAAUACAUAUUUUGGACCAAUACAUUUUGUUUGAUUUUGGCAUAGUGACGUCUCUAGAUUUCCAUUAUUGUUACAAUACGUAACAUUUUGAGUACUUGUUACAUAACACUGAAAAGUAUUUCAACAUUAUUUAAAUCAAUGUGAAAACUUUGUGGGAUUCCCUCACUUUCUCAUGAUUCUGUUCCACUGUCACAAUUAGUACAUACAGUAUGUACACUGAUUCUUUUCAUUGGACCAUGCAUUAUUUUAUUGUUUGUAGAUAGCUUACAAUAAGGCGCAGUAAAUGCAGUAAGUGCACCUUGGAUUGAUUGAACUAAAACUAUUUUGUGUCUCUUUCUGCCAUGUCACCAUUGCUGGAGAUUUAUUUACACAAAUUCACCUACUGAGGACAGCAUGAUGUGUCUGGCCUGUCAUGUUGCUGAUUCCACUGGACCUAUGCUGACUUUUGACCUGUUCUCCCCUGGGACCUACACAGCCUCUCCUGUUUUGUUGGACUAUCUUUAAAUAAAUGUUUUUCUCA